AGUCUGUAGGUGACUGCAGAAGGAGGAGGAGCUCCAUCUGUACUCUCUUCAGGCAGUUGUGUCUCUCAGUGCUUGUUGGGUUCACACCUAUUAAAUAAGCUGGCUGGUCUUCACCCUCCAAGAGAAGUCAACUCAUGGGAGGUGGCAGGGUACAGGCAUUGGCCCAAGCUGUGGCUGGGGCCAGGCUGUGGUGUCGGCAGGCAAGCAGCAGACAAGACCAUCUCUGCAAGUGCAGCACAGCCUCAGCCUAGGGCAACGGGAGUGUGAGGCCAAAGCUGUGAGCAGAGGCAUAGAUUUACCUUUGGAGUCCAACCCUUCUGACCAUCCAGAGGCAAGCACAAUAUUCCUGAGAAAAUCUCAAAUAGAUGUGUGACCUUGGUGAUAUAUUAACAUAUCAAGCAAAGAGAUGCAGAUAGAUCUUUGGGCAUAUUUGAUGAACGGUUACACCCAUUUACAUGAGAAGACGUUUUGGAGGAAUAUUUUAAAUAUGAUCCUUAACACAAAUUGGUUUUCAGUUUUGUUUGUAUUCUGUUUAAAGCCAUAAGGCUAACAGCUGAAUUUGCAAUUGUAAGUUUGGAAUGAGUUGGAAAGGGAAUUCUUGAAGCUAAUUAAUUACAAUAUCAGCGUUACUGGCAGUGUUUAUAGCAGAUUCUACUUCAAUCUUCGAACCAUGGCACAUGACAACAGCCUGUAUUCGCUAGUUUAUCUUCUUGACAGAGAAAGAGCAUGGAAGCUGGAGGCUUUUUCAAGGAUGGAACAAGACAAAGUUUUCUAUAGUGCUGCCAAGAAC
RNAcentral lists this long non-coding RNA (790 nucleotides) under Homo sapiens (human). RNAcentral's name for it is "novel transcript". Lineage: Eukaryota; Metazoa; Chordata; Mammalia; Primates; Hominidae. The record is from RNAcentral.